GCGGGAGCUUGCUCCCUGAGGUUAGCGGCGGACGGGUGAGUAACACGUGGGCAACCUGCCUAUAAGACUGGGAUAACUUCGGGAAACCGGAGCUAAUACCGGAUAAUUCAUAUCUACUCAUGUAGAUAUGCUGAAAGACGGUUUUCGCUGUCACUUAUAGAUGGGCCCGCGGCGCAUUAGCUAGUUGGUGAUUUAUCGGCUCACCAAGGCGACGAUGCGUAGCCGACCUGAGAGGGUGAUCGGCCACACUGGUCCCGCGACACGGGGAAGACUCCUACUUGAGUCGNNUGUGGGGAAUUC
This 300-nucleotide small RNA is filed under the name uncultured bacterium. Its description in RNAcentral is "bacterial SSU rRNA". It matches the Rfam family "Bacterial small subunit ribosomal RNA", at positions 72 to 364 of the family's 1533-position model. The record is from RNAcentral.